AAGUAAGGUAGAGGCGCACCGCCUAUCAGUCCUCCGGAGUAGGGUGAUUCCCGUUUAUCCCGGACAAAAGGAGUCGGUGCCGAAGUGCGAAGGGCGUCAUCCCGUCGUGCUGGGGUCGUAUCGAAUAGGUCCGACACUGCCAUAGUAAUCUCUGUCAGGACGACAGCAGUGGGUUUACUAUGGAGCGCUACUGAAAGG
RNAcentral lists this non-coding RNA (198 nucleotides) under Ferrimonas balearica. RNAcentral's name for it is "Lysine sequence". It matches the Rfam family "Lysine riboswitch aptamer". From Rfam's summary of the family: Riboswitches are metabolite binding domains within certain messenger RNAs that serve as precision sensors for their corresponding targets. Allosteric rearrangement of mRNA structure is mediated by ligand binding, and this results in modulation of gene expression. Lineage: Bacteria; Pseudomonadati; Pseudomonadota; Gammaproteobacteria; Alteromonadales; Ferrimonadaceae. The record is from RNAcentral. RNAcentral also lists the same sequence under 1 other name.